UUCCAACUGAGCAUGAUACACUUCAUACUAUUACAAACUUACUCUUGCCUCAUUUGUCCUAAAUAAACAUCAGUUGUCCUUGUGCUUGUAUUUGUUGGGCAAAUUGCCAAAUCUGGGAAAUGCCGCUGCUUCCUCUGAUGCUGCCAUGCUGGCACACUUUCUUUUGGUGGGAAGGAAUGCUGCUGCUAUUUAAAGGAAGCACCUUCUAGGAGGUCCUGCUUUGAGGACCAAAGUUUGUGCCUGGAAUUUGAACUCCACUUGAAACUUGAUCCUGCGCCAAAGAAAAUAAAGACAAGAAAGUGAAACCAAUGGCUGUUUUUUUACGCAAACUGGAAUUUAACUUUCAUUUUAAAUGCGCUGUCGUCCGGAUUGGUUUUGUUGAAUGGGCACCGACGCUUCUGCUCUACAAGCGCAGCUCUCCCCAGCUAAAGAAACCCCGACCUGCGGGAGGGAGCCCGUCGUCCAGCAGGUGAAAAAUGCUGUCUUUCUCGGGGAUGUGACCUGAGUUCUACUUUGAGUUCUUUGUGAGUCUUCCAGCCUGGAUGGUACUGCGGCAAUAUUUUAACAUUUUUCAGAUGGCAUUCCUCCACAUCUUUCCUCUGGUCUUGCUACUACUGAACACAUCAAAUUCUAUUCAGGCUGUGUCUUCUAGUUUCUCAUGUGAAUCAAAUGUUGCAGAACGUGGAAAAACUGCCAGCAUUAUCUGCAAGUACACUAAAGAUAUUAGAAAUGCAUCAGUGAAAUUCUGUUUUGCCAAUACUACCACCUGUCCUGAAAGAAGUGAACUCAACACAUAUAACAGAAAGUUAACCUCUGACCAUGGAAGAAUUUCACUGAAGUUGAAUCACUCCGCCAUCCUGAUUAUUAACAAAGUACAAAUAUUGGACCAAAGAAAUUACUAUUUUUUUCUUGAAGCUGAGAAUCAUUUUGGAAGAAAAUAUGUGUUUCUAAAAGUUGUUGCAACGUAUACUAACCCUCAAGUCAGAAGGCAGAAUGACACUCUUAUAUGUACAGCAACUGGAGGUUAUCCAGAAAAGUACCUCUAUUGGUUUGACAAGUACAAUACCAACCUGACCGAUAGAUCAAAAUUUGUGGCUGUGCCAAAUGCAGACGGCUCAUUCUCUCUCAAUAGUACUCUCCUGGUUGAUUCGUCUGACAGCAAAAUGGCAUACUGCUGUACUAUUAACAACACAAAUAGCUUUCAUGAACCUCAAGGCUCCAAUAAAAUCUGCAGGAGAGGAGAUUCAAUUGCUUCCAUGCAGCAGAAAUUCCACAGGUUUCUUCCUGGGUGAGUGUACGUAUAGGCUGAAGGUUUCCAGUGUAGCUAAGGAAUAAUAGAAGAAACCUUUGAGAUUUUGUGUUGUAGAAAUAAUGUUCCAUGUAUUAGUCCAACAACUGAACUAUAACUUAAUGCAGCAAUUACAUGGUUAAAUAUUGCAGGAUAUGUCUGGAAGUUACCUCAUGGCAACUGGAUUUCUUUCCUAUAAGGUUGAAAAGUUUUGCUACUCAACCAAGUAGCUUCUUCACUCUGAGGAGAGUUGGUAGGAGAUCCCUGAUAUAUGUCCUUCAUGUUGGUUUCACUUCCCCCUGGUCUGGAUAGGCUCACUAGAUGGACAAAGGACUGGGGGGUGAGUGAAAAUCCCACUACUGCAGUUUUUCCCCACCCACUGUCGUGGGUCAUCAACAGUUAUUAACAGUGGUCUUUCUGACAUGUGGUCCUGAUCUUUCUGGGGACAGAUCCUCUAGGAAAGAAGUCCAGUUGCCAUGACUCAACUUCCAGAUGACCUCACCUGGAUGACUGAGAAUCUUCACAGAUGUAUUGCAGGAUAUGCUGCAGGUGUAAAAUCAAUGAAUUCACAUUUAAAAAAAACUAAUCAUAUGACCAAUACAAAUCAAGGGAGCCCUCUUUUUUUUGCUCCUGACAUGGAGUUUUUUUUCUCUGCCUCUGGGGGCUUAUUUUUCAAGCUGGAACAAUUUGAUUGGACUUUUCCCCAUGUGCUCAGUUUCAUUCUCCAAAAGGAUGGGAUAUGUGACUGGAUGGGCAUGAUAUUUUGAACAUUGGAAGCAUCCUGCAAUCUUUUUCCCUAGUCACCCCAAAGUUUUGUUUUCUUAUUUUUUAAAACAAACAAGUUUAGCACUAGAUCAUUUUAUUGCCACAUUGAUACACUAGCUUAGUUCCUGAUUACCUCUGCAUGGACUAAAAAAAGAGAGAUAAAAUUGAUAUGUAAUAGAAACAGUUCCAAAGAACUCCAGCAGAUGGUGCUUCUGUGUUAUAUGUGUAUGUGUUUGUAUGUUAUGAAGAACUACAGAAAAUUCCAAAAUUGUCCUUUUCCCUAGCACUAUGCAACAGUGUAAGUGUAAAAUAGACUGUAAAUCAAGCCACAGCAAAACUGAAUGGCUCCAAUUCAACUUUUCAGUGUUGUGACAGGUUUAGUUCAAUUGCUUUCAGUGAAAUUCUUGCAUUUUCUCUUUUUUGUCUUCCUACAGAGAACAAAUUCCAGCAUAGUAUGAAUGGGGGGAAAUAGAUUUAACAGUCUCUCUCGGAUGGAUAUUGAUAAAUAUGGCCUUGGCAUAGGAUACUGACAUCCAGAACUGCAAUGCACAAGUAUAAGAUGGGGAAGAAUUUUGUCUGGCCAUCUACUUUCUAACUCCACUGCAUGUCCUUGUUCUUUUUUAAAAUUAUCAAGAAAAAAACUUUACGUUGAUUGAAAGAAACAGGCAGUUUAUCAGUGUUCGUGAAAAUCACAUUUCUUCAGGGCUUGGAAAAACUGGGUUGAACCUGAAUUUUCCUUAAACAACAGUUGUGGAUGCACUCCUUAUAUAGCACAAACUAGCCUUAUCAUAUGAUCCUUUUGGACUGUCCUUGUGAAUCAGUCCCUUAUGAAUCCAUAUCCCCAUCUGACAGACAGAAACCACUGUGACCUAUAACUACUGAAGGAUACCAAAUGUUAAUCUGAAGAGGCACCGUGAAUGUUUCGAGGGAGAGGAGCAAAUCUUCAAAUAAAAAAAAUGGCUCAGUUGCA
This is a long non-coding RNA of Pogona vitticeps (central bearded dragon), 3023 nucleotides long. Ensembl lists it as uncharacterized. The record is from Ensembl. NCBI's taxonomy places the organism in Eukaryota, Metazoa, Chordata, Lepidosauria, Squamata, Agamidae.